RNAcentral lists this transfer RNA (72 nucleotides) under Fukomys damarensis (Damara mole-rat). It matches the Rfam family "tRNA". Rfam says of the family: Transfer RNA (tRNA) molecules are approximately 80 nucleotides in length. Their secondary structure includes four short double-helical elements and three loops (D, anti-codon, and T loops). The record is from Rfam by way of RNAcentral. Lineage: Eukaryota; Metazoa; Chordata; Mammalia; Rodentia; Bathyergidae.
CGUGGUGUAGCUCCAUAGUAGAGCAGGUGCCUGGCAAGCAUGAGCCUAUGGGUUCAAUCCCCAGCACCAAAA